Leptonychotes weddellii (Weddell seal) is the source of this 817-nucleotide non-coding RNA. NCBI's taxonomy places the organism in Eukaryota, Metazoa, Chordata, Mammalia, Carnivora, Phocidae. The record is from RefSeq and is a predicted model, not a curated record.
UUCGCGCCGGCGCCGGCGCCCUGCGGAAGCGGCGUUAGUGAAUCGGGGCCUUGGGGAGCCCAGGAUGGAGGUGGCGGUCGCGGCGGCGGCGGGCCGAGCCCUGCGGAGGGCGGGAGGAUGAUGGGACAAGUCAGAUGAUGGCCCAGAGUUCCUUCAGCAGAUAGUUGGGCUGGAAUCGUACCCUUAUUAUCAUCAUUAUUGUGGCGUUGGCUCCCUAAAGCCUGCAGGGGGGCUCCCUGGAAGAGGCAGCAUGGCUUGUGUCCUGGGCUGGCUUCCUGGCCCCAUGGUCAGAUGAAUCAGCCCCAGAAACCUGACGAUUUCUUCUGGGGCCCUGGGCCUGCCCCUCUGCCUGGCCUCCUGACAGCAGGCUUCCAGCGCCCUCUCUCUGGUCCGACUGAGCUCUCUGCUACGUGGGCAGUCGCUGACCGGGGAAUGUGCUGCUGCCUCCUUGAGGCCACGGACCUGCUCCUCGCAGCUGACGGGAAUAGAUUAGGUAGACAGAGGCAGGCUGGAUCUGGCAUCCCAGGGAAGAGGCCCUUUCUUCACUGCAGCUGGGACCCCAGGCAGAGGCCUGCCUGCAUCAGCUGGCGGGGAGCCAGCACCUCCCUCCUGGCAGUCCUGCCUCUGGUCAGCCUACCGAGUGGCUCUGGUCCUGCGAGGGAACUGGGGUCCAAGGGGCUGCGACGUACCCACAUGUAUUCAUGGCUGGGCCCAGGACCAGGCCUGGAUUCUCGGACACCAGGCUCCACGCAUGUCCCACUCUGGCUCCUGCAGUAAAUCGAACUGCUAAUAAAUGAGCACAUUGAUACAUAAUUAA